Molecule: ribosomal RNA, 400 nt
Filed under: phytoplankton environmental sample
Lineage: Eukaryota
Description: partial small subunit ribosomal RNA
Rfam family: Eukaryotic small subunit ribosomal RNA
Source: RNAcentral
AGCUCCAAUAGCGUAUAUUAAAAUUGUUGCGGUUAAAACGCUCGUAGUUGGAUAUCUGCUAAGGGGUUUCGGUCCUUCCCAGUGAAGAAUACGCGGAACUCUUCUUGGCAUUUAUUCAGGGAAGGUGUUUGCACUUUGUUGUGUGUCACAUGAUCUGAAUUUUUACUUUGAGGAAAUGAGAGUGUUUCAAGCAGGCUUUUGCCGUGAAUAUGAUAGCAUGGAAUAAUAGCACAGGACCCCUUUCCAAAGCUGUUGGUUUUUGGAACGAGGUAAUCAGAAUAAGGAUAGUUGGGGGUAUUCGUAUUUAACUGUCAGAGGUGAAAUUCUUGGAUUUUUUAAAGACGAACUAUUGCGAAGGCAUCUGCCCAGGAUGUUUUUAUUGAUCAAGAACGAAAGUACG